UGACGUCACGGAUGGAUGCAAAGAUGCCGAUGGCAAUGGAAGGUUCUUCCUCUUCUUCUUCCUCUUCUUCCUUACUGCCACUGUUAAACCGUCCCACUGCAUCGGCUUUCGCAUCAUCUACGGUCAUCCUCAUCAGCUUCUCUCCUUCGAGCUGUUCGGAGCAAUGUCGGGUCCUCAGUGCUGCGAGAACCCUCCGACCCUCAACCCGAGCUGCGGGUCGGGACGCUUGGAGAAGAUCGCCGGCCUCAAUGCUUACGUCACCGGGCUGCCUGAAUCCAAGCUUACAGUUCUUCUCGUCCCUGAUGUGUUCGGAUAUGAAGCUCCAAAUUUGAGGAAGCUUGCGGACAAGGUUGCAGCAGCUGGGUUCUAUGUGGUUGUGCCUGACUAUUUUUAUGGUGAUCCUUAUAACCCUGAAAAUGCCGAGAGGCCCAUUGCAGUUUGGUUAAAAGAUCAUGGACAUCAUAAGGGAUUUGAAGAUACAAAACCGAUCAUCGAAGCCCUGAAAAGCCAGGGUUUAUCGCCAAUUGGUGCUGCUGGUUUUUGCUGGGGCGCUAAGGUUGUGGUUGAGCUAGCAAAGUGUGGACUCAUCCAAGCUGCUGUGCUAUUGCAUCCUUCAUUUGUCACUCUUGACGAUAUCAAGGAGGUUAAGGUUCCAAUUUCUGUGCUGGGAGCUGAGAUAGAUCGCAUGUCUCCACCAGAACUCUUGAAACAGUUUGAGGAGGCUCUUGCAGCUAAACCCGAGGUUGAUUCGUUCGUGAAGAUUUUCCCAAAAGUUUCACAUGGAUGGACAGUGAGGUACAAUGCAGGAGACGCAGAGGCAGUGAAGUGUGCCGAGGAGGCCCACCUGGAUAUGACUGAGUGGUUCGUGAAAUAUCUCAAGUAAGAAAAACAAAAAUAUUACCAGUCCUAGAAUUAUUUGGAUGGGCAAUUUGGUACUGAACAAUUGUGGUGUGGUUUGCCAUAGGAGUGUGCACGAUUACCAGGUAUACCCGGAACCGGUUAGAACCUACCCGUUAGGGUAGGGUCCGGGUAGCUCGUAUUGAAAAUAGCGUAGGGUCCGGGUAUUAAAAUAAGGAACAAGUAAAAAUUGGUUUCGGUUCCGAUUCUUGCAUAUACCCAGAACCGGAACCGGUACUCAGACUUUACCCCCUUCCCCUCUCUCUCUCGGUGGUAGCUUCGCAUUCCUUAUCGUCGGCAGCCUUGGUUCGGUGAUGCGUUGAAUUAGCAAGUUCAAUCCCCACUUCCUCCUCCUCCUGCUUCUGCAACUUUCAACUGUGUGCAACUUCUUCGUCUCCAUCUCCGAUCAAAUUCUAGGCCUCCUUUGUCCGCUAGAAAUUGCUUCGGCAGCAUGAUAUGAUAUUCAAGUCUUCCGAUCGAUUAUGGAUUUAAGUAGGGUCUCUGCAAAAUUUUCCGUGCUGGGAACUUCUUGUCAUACGACCAACAGUGAAAUCUAGAGCUCUUUCCUUUAAUUGUUGACCACUGGUGUUGUAAACUGCAGUAGGUCUGUAUCUUGAUAUAGCCUGAAUGAGGCCUGAUCGGUUCUAUUUGUCAACGGCCUCGAUGUGUCCCCUUGGUGGACUUGAUCGGAUCUCGGGCUUUAUCUGAUUCUAUCUUGAGUUUCACAAUCUUUGUUGUAGAUGUAUAGUGGAUUAAUCUAAAUCUAUGUCUGACAUUCUGUUUUGUGUAAUUAUUAGUUAUAGAUGAGACAUUUUUUUAUUUUA
Non-coding RNA from Punica granatum (pomegranate), 1721 nucleotides. NCBI's taxonomy places the organism in Eukaryota, Viridiplantae, Streptophyta, Magnoliopsida, Myrtales, Lythraceae. The record is from RefSeq and is a predicted model, not a curated record.